UGCAAGUCGAACGGAGAGUUAGCAAUAACUCUUAGUGGCGAACGGGUGAGUAACGCGUGGGCAAUCUGCCCUUUAGACGGGGACAACAUUCCGAAAGGGGUGCUAAUACCGGAUGUGAUCAAUACACCGCAUGGUGUGUUGAAGAAAGGUGGCCUCUGAAUAUGCUACCGCUAAAGGAUGAGCCUGCGUCUGAUUAGCUAGUUGGUGGGGUAAUGGCUCACCAAGGCGACGAUCAGUAGCCGGUCUGAGAGGAUGAACGGCCACACUGGGACUGAGACACGGCCUAGACUCCUACGGGAGGCAGCAGUGGGGAAUCUUCCGCAAUGGACGAAAGUCUGACGGAGCAACGCCGCGUGAACGAUGAAGGUCUUCGGAUUGUAAAGUUCUGUUUUUAGGGAAGAAUGUGCUUGGGGUGAACAAUCUCGAGUAAUGACGUUACCUAAAGAGGAAGUCACGGCUAACUACGUGCCAGCAGCCGCGGUAAUACGUAGGUGGCGAGCGUUGUCCGGAAUUAUUGGGCGUAAAGCGCAUGUAGGCGGGAAUAUAAGUCUGUUGUGAAAAUGCGGGGCUCAACCCCGUAUUGCAAUGGAAACUGUAUUUCUUGAGUGCAGGAGAGGAAAGGGGAAUUCCCAGUGUAGCGGUGAAAUGCGUAGAUAUUGGGAGGAACACCAGUGGCGAAGGCGCCUUUCUGGACUGUGUC
Molecule: ribosomal RNA, 700 nt
Filed under: uncultured bacterium
Lineage: Bacteria
Description: bacterial SSU rRNA
Rfam family: Bacterial small subunit ribosomal RNA
Source: RNAcentral